RNAcentral lists this ribosomal RNA (837 nucleotides) under Dietzia sp. JSM 077011. RNAcentral's name for it is "bacterial SSU rRNA". It matches the Rfam family "Bacterial small subunit ribosomal RNA", at positions 56 to 908 of the family's 1533-position model. The record is from RNAcentral. Lineage: Bacteria; Bacillati; Actinomycetota; Actinomycetes; Mycobacteriales; Dietziaceae.
UGCAAGUCGAACGGUAAGGCCCCUUCGGGGGUACACGAGUGGCGAACGGGUGAGUAACACGUGGGUAAUCUGCCCUGCACUUCGGGAUAAGCCUGGGAAACCGGGUCUAAUACCGGAUAUGAACUCCUGCCGCAUGGUGGGGGUUGGAAAGUUUUUCGGUGCAGGAUGAGCCCGCGGCCUAUCAGCUUGUUGGUGGGGUAAUGGCCUACCAAGGCGACGACGGGUAGCCGGCCUGAGAGGGUGAUCGGCCACACUGGGACUGAGACACGGCCCAGACUCCUACGGGAGGCAGCAGUGGGGAAUAUUGCACAAUGGGCGAAAGCCUGAUGCAGCGACGCCGCGUGGGGGAUGACGGUCUUCGGAUUGUAAACCCCUUUCAGUAGGGACGAAGCGCAAGUGACGGUACCUGCAGAAGAAGCACCGGCUAACUACGUGCCAGCAGCCGCGGUAAUACGUAGGGUGCGAGCGUUGUCCGGAAUUACUGGGCGUAAAGAGCUCGUAGGCGGUUUGUCACGUCGUCUGUGAAAUCCCUCGGCUUAACCGGGGGCGUGCAGGCGAUACGGGCUGACUUGAGUACUACAGGGGAGACUGGAAUUCCUGGUGUAGCGGUGAAAUGCGCAGAUAUCAGGAGGAACACCGGUGGCGAAGGCGGGUCUCUGGGUAGUAACUGACGCUGAGGAGCGAAAGCAUGGGUAGCGAACAGGAUUAGAUACCCUGGUAGUCCAUGCCGUAAACGGUGGGCGCUAGGUGUGGGGUCCUUCCACGGACUCCGUGCCGUAGCUAACGCAUUAAGCGCCCCGCCUGGGGAGUACGGCCGCAAGGCUAAAACUCAAAGGA